AGUCACAGCCUCACCCCUCUCCUCUUAGCGCCGCUCAUUUUGGUUUCUUCAAUUUUGUUCUUCUUUCUUUCUUCUUUUUUCAUUUUCGUUCAAUCUUAGGCCCUCACUCCUCAGCGCAGCUCACUCGCUCAGCCUCCUUUUAAGCUUGGAAUAAUUUUCCUAACUUUGCGGCACUCAUUUUCGUUAACUGACAGGCACACAAUAAGUAAUUUGAAUCGGUUUGAGGGAAAGGGACGCCCAACCCACAAUACCCGAUCCGAUCUGCCAACCCGCAAUAUCUGCCCCGCAAAACCCGAUACCCAGCGGAUAAUGUUCACUGUAGACGAGCCACGGGUUAUGAAGAUGAGGAGUAUCAGGAUUGUCCAGACCUUUAGGUGAUCUUGAUGGCAAUAUUUGAGACUAGGAUGCCUCCCAUUUUUGUAGACUAAUAUGUUUAGUCCAUUAUUAUAAUAUUCGGAGAAUAAUUUUUAUAUUUUUGUUAGUAUGUAUAUAAUGUUUGUAAAUUAUCUGUGUCAUACAUGGUACAAAUACUAUUUUAA
This is a long non-coding RNA of Alnus glutinosa, 539 nucleotides long. RefSeq lists it as uncharacterized. NCBI's taxonomy places the organism in Eukaryota, Viridiplantae, Streptophyta, Magnoliopsida, Fagales, Betulaceae. The record is from RefSeq and is a predicted model, not a curated record. The transcript has 3 exons.